The submitters of this non-coding RNA (83 nucleotides) gave its source as unclassified sequences. The record is from Rfam.
GCAACCCGCAAGGCCGACGACACCCCGCCGCCGCUGGUGCAAGCCCAGCCGCCCCACACGGGGCGGGCGCUCAUGGGUACACA